Molecule: RNase P RNA, 328 nt
Filed under: human gut metagenome
Description: Bacterial RNase P class A
Rfam family: Bacterial RNase P class A
About the family: Ribonuclease P (RNase P) is a ubiquitous endoribonuclease, found in archaea, bacteria and eukarya as well as chloroplasts and mitochondria.
Source: RNAcentral
UGAUCGCGGAUGGCAAGCCGAAAGGUGCCGUACGAGGAAAGUCCGGGCUUCACAGGGCAGGAUGCCGGAUAACGUCCGGUGGAGGCGACUCUAAGGAUAGUGCAACAGAAAUGUACCGCCCUUUUUCGAAGGGUAAGGGUGGAAGGGCAGUGUAAGAGACUACCGUCUCCCUGGUAACAGGGAGGGCAUAUGUAAACCCCAUCCGAAGCAAGACCGAAUAAAAGCAUAUGGCGGCCCGUCAGCUUUAGGUAGGUCGCUUGAGUACAGCGGUAACGCUGUGCCUAGAUAGAUGAUCAUUCACGACAUAACCCGGCUUAUCGUUCUGCUU